UCUUGGUCAUUUAGAGGAAGUAAAAGUCGUAACAAGGUCUCCGUUGGUGAACCAGCGGAGGGAUCAUUACAGAGUUGCAAAACUCCCUAAACCAUUGUGAACGUUACCUAAACCGUUGCUUCGGCGGGCGGCCCGGGUCCUUCCCGGCGCCCAUCGGCCCUCGCGGGCGCCCGCCGGAGGUAAACCAAACUAUUGCAUUGUAUGGCCUCUCUGAGUCUUCUGUACUGAAUAAGUCAAAACUUUCAACAACGGAUCUCUUGGUUCUGGCAUCGAUGAAGAACGCAGCGAAAUGCGAUAAGUAAUGUGAAUUGCAGAAUUCAGUGAAUCAUCGAAUCUUUGAACGCACAUUGCGCCCGCCAGUAUUCUGGCGGGCAUGCCUGUUCGAGCGUCAUUUCAACCAUCAAGCCCCGGGCUUGUGUUGGGGACCUGCGGCUGCCGCAGGCCCUGAAAUGCAGUGGCGGGCUCGCUGUCACUCCGAGCGUAGUAGUUACAUCUCGCUCUGGGCGUGCUGCGGGUUCCGGCCGUUAAAAGCCUUAUUUACCCAAGGUUGACCUCGGAUCAGGUAGGAAGACCCGCUGAACUUAAGCAUAUCAAUAAGCGG
Molecule: ribosomal RNA, 601 nt
Filed under: uncultured Humicola
Lineage: Eukaryota; Fungi; Ascomycota
Description: eukaryotic LSU rRNA
Rfam family: 5.8S ribosomal RNA (bases 238-391)
Source: RNAcentral